CAAAAACAUAGCCUUUAGCAGCCAAGUAUAAAGGUGUGCCUGCCCAGUGAAAUUUUAACGGCCGCGGUAUCCUAACCGUGCAAAGGUAGCGUAAUCACUUGUCUUAUAAAUAAAGACCAGUAUGAAUGGCUAAAUGAGUAUUAGACUGUCUCCUAAGACUAAUCAGUGAAACUGAUCUUCCAGUACAAAAGCUGGAAUAAAAUCAUAAGACGAGAAGACCCUGUGGAGCUUUAAACUUUCACCAAGGUGUUUAUGCAAAACACACCCCAUGGAAAAAACUUUUAAGUUGGGGCGACUUUGGAACAAAACACAACCUCCAAGAAAUGGCACCGCCAAAAAAGGCCUACAAGCCAAAACUGCGACCCAGUACCACUGAGCAACGAACCAAGUUACCCCAGGGAUAACAGCGCCAUCUUCUUCAGAGUUCAUAUCGACAAGAAGGUUACGACUCGAUGUUGGAUUAGGACACCUAUGGUGCAGCGCUAUUAAGGKUCGUUGUUCACGAUUAAUGUC
RNAcentral lists this ribosomal RNA (513 nucleotides) under Anolis salvini. RNAcentral describes it as "partial 16S ribosomal RNA". It matches the Rfam family "Bacterial large subunit ribosomal RNA", at positions 1808 to 2595 of the family's 2925-position model. Lineage: Eukaryota; Metazoa; Chordata; Lepidosauria; Squamata; Anolidae. The record is from RNAcentral.